This 985-nucleotide ribosomal RNA is filed under the name Bacillus sp. DH-8. RNAcentral's name for it is "bacterial SSU rRNA". It matches the Rfam family "Bacterial small subunit ribosomal RNA", at positions 36 to 1005 of the family's 1533-position model. The record is from RNAcentral. Lineage: Bacteria; Bacillati; Bacillota; Bacilli; Caryophanales; Bacillaceae.
CUGGGGGGGUGCUAUACAUGCAGUCGAGCGGACAGAUGGGAGCUUGCUCCCUGAUGUUAGCGGCGGACGGGUGAGUAACACGUGGGUAACCUGCCUGUAAGACUGGGAUAACUCCGGGAAACCGGGGCUAAUACCGGAUGGUUGUUUGAACCGCAUGGUUCAGACAUAAAAGGUGGCUUCGGCUACCACUUACAGAUGGACCCGCGGCGCAUUAGCUAGUUGGUGAGGUAACGGCUCACCAAGGCGACGAUGCGUAGCCGACCUGAGAGGGUGAUCGGCCACACUGGGACUGAGACACGGCCCAGACUCCUACGGGAGGCAGCAGUAGGGAAUCUUCCGCAAUGGACGAAAGUCUGACGGAGCAACGCCGCGUGAGUGAUGAAGGUUUUCGGAUCGUAAAGCUCUGUUGUUAGGGAAGAACAAGUGCCGUUCAAAUAGGGCGGCACCUUGACGGUACCUAACCAGAAAGCCACGGCUAACUACGUGCCAGCAGCCGCGGUAAUACGUAGGUGGCAAGCGUUGUCCGGAAUUAUUGGGCGUAAAGGGCUCGCAGGCGGUUUCUUAAGUCUGAUGUGAAAGCCCCCGGCUCAACCGGGGAGGGUCAUUGGAAACUGGGGAACUUGAGUGCAGAAGAGGAGAGUGGAAUUCCACGUGUAGCGGUGAAAUGCGUAGAGAUGUGGAGGAACACCAGUGGCGAAGGCGACUCUCUGGUCUGUAACUGACGCUGAGGAGCGAAAGCGUGGGGAGCGAACAGGAUUAGAUACCCUGGUAGUCCACGCCGUAAACGAUGAGUGCUAAGUGUUAGGGGGUUUCCGCCCCUUAGUGCUGCAGCUAACGCAUUAAGCACUCCGCCUGGGGAGUACGGUCGCAAGACUGAAACUCAAAGGAAUUGACGGGGGCCCGCACAAGCGGUGGAGCAUGUGGUUUAAUUCGAAGCAACGCGAAGAACCUUACCAGGUCUUGACAUCCUCUGACAAUCCUAGAG